This is a long non-coding RNA of Medicago truncatula (barrel medic), 362 nucleotides long. RefSeq lists it as uncharacterized. Lineage: Eukaryota; Viridiplantae; Streptophyta; Magnoliopsida; Fabales; Fabaceae. The record is from RefSeq and is a predicted model, not a curated record. The transcript has 2 exons.
AUAAUUUUCUACUUGAUACAUGCAAAGGAGAAAACAUAUGGAUCAAAUCACACAUUUGCUUUAUGCAUUCAUCAUCUUUCUAUAUGUAAAUUUUGCUUCAACCGAAAGUGAGAAGAUUAUCAAGAUUUAGUGCCAUGCUUAUCACGCGCUGAUUGCCCGCAAGAUAUGUGUGUAUCUCCUAAACUUGUGUGGUGUCAUCUUUAUUCUUGUGAAUGCAUUUAAAUGUAACAAAUAAGCUGAAAAAUAAUCAUAUAUUACUUGUAUCCAUACAAUUAUAUUUGAACAUCAAAAUAUUUAUAUUGUUAAGUAUUUCUUGUAAUGGAAAAAUAUGUAAUAUAAAUAUAUAAAAAACCUGGAAAUUA